UUAACACAAAUUUGUAUGGAGUUGGAACGUUUGCCUACGGCUGCCGCUAGGGGCGCUGUUCCAACUGCAUUCAAAUUUGAGUUA
Non-coding RNA from Bombyx mori (domestic silkworm), 84 nucleotides. The record is from Rfam. NCBI's taxonomy places the organism in Eukaryota, Metazoa, Arthropoda, Insecta, Lepidoptera, Bombycidae.